GGGCAGGUGGUAGAGUGGUCAAUUACACCAGACUGUAAAUCUGGCGGCCUAUGGCCUUCGGUGGUUCAAAUCCACCCCUGCCCA
Non-coding RNA from Candidatus Terrybacteria bacterium RIFCSPLOWO2_02_42_20, 84 nucleotides. The record is from Rfam. NCBI's taxonomy places the organism in Bacteria, Candidatus Terryibacteriota.